CCCUACGGGGCGCAGUAGUAGGGAAUUUUCGUCAAUGGGCGCAAGCCUGAACGAGCAAUGCCGCGUGAACGAGGAAGGUCUUCGGAUCGUAAAGUUCUGUUGAAGGGGAAAAAGAGCGGAGAGAGGAAAUGCUUUCUGAUUGAUAUUACCCUUCGAGGAAGUCACGGCUAACUACGUGCCAGCAGCCGCGGUAAUACGUAGGUGGCGAGCGUUAUCCGGAAUGAUUGGGCGUAAAGGGUGCGUAGGCGGCCUGCUAAGUCUGGAGUGAAAGGUACCGGCUCAACCGGUACAGGCUCUGGAAACUG
This 305-nucleotide ribosomal RNA is filed under the name uncultured bacterium. RNAcentral's name for it is "bacterial SSU rRNA". It matches the Rfam family "Bacterial small subunit ribosomal RNA", at positions 337 to 635 of the family's 1533-position model. The record is from RNAcentral.